This 30-nucleotide non-coding RNA is filed under the name Mus musculus (house mouse). The record is from RNAcentral. Lineage: Eukaryota; Metazoa; Chordata; Mammalia; Rodentia; Muridae.
UGAUAGGUUAGCUUUCCUUCCGUGAAUGCU